This is a small nucleolar RNA of Lemur catta (Ring-tailed lemur), 140 nucleotides long. RefSeq annotates it as small nucleolar RNA SNORA70. The transcript has a single exon. The record is from RefSeq and is a predicted model, not a curated record. NCBI's taxonomy places the organism in Eukaryota, Metazoa, Chordata, Mammalia, Primates, Lemuridae.
CUGCAAGUAGUUAAGCUCAUUCACCUAGCUUUCCUCCCUGAUGAAGUCUCACUUUGCAGCAGCUGCAAAAAGCCAAUUCCCCAGCUGUGUAUGCAGCUCAUUUCUUGUUUGUGUUGCUCUAAGGGACCUUGAAGACAUCA